Molecule: unclassified non-coding RNA, 805 nt
Filed under: Bombus terrestris (buff-tailed bumblebee)
Lineage: Eukaryota; Metazoa; Arthropoda; Insecta; Hymenoptera; Apidae
Description: misc RNA ENSBTSG00005030506.1
Source: RNAcentral
GUAUAUUGUAAUCAGAAAGUGUGCGCCCAUCUUCCAAUUGUUUACCAGCGAAGAUCAACCUCUGUUGGUCUGGAGGAAUUCCUUCCUUGUCUUGAAUUUUUGCUUUCACAUUCUCAAUAGUAUCAGAAGCUUCAACUUCAAGAGUUAUUGUUUUUCCUGUAAGGGUUUUUACAAAAAUUUGCAUUCCUCCUCUCAGACGAAGAACAAGAUGAAGAGUCGAUUCCUUUUGAAUAUUAUAAUCAGAGAGUGUACGUCCAUCUUCCAGUUGUUUACCAGCAAAGAUCAAUCUCUGUUGAUCGGAGUCGAUUCUUUUUGAAUAUUAUAAUCGGACAGCGUGCGUCCAUCUUCAAGUUGCUUACCAGCAAAGAUCAAUCUCUGUUGAUCGGGUGGAAUACCUUCUUUAUCCUGAAUCUUGGCCUUGACAUUCUCAAUAGUAUCAGAAGCUUCAACUUCAAGAGUUAUUGUUUUUCCAGUAAGGGUUUUUACAAAUAUUUGCAUUCCUCCUCUCAGACGAAGUACAAGAUGAAGAGUCGAUUCUUUUUGAAUAUUAUAAUCGGACAGCGUGCGUCCGUCUUCAAUUGCUUACCAGCAAAGAUCAAUCUCUGUUGAUCGGGUGGAAUACCUUCUUUAUCCUGAAUCUUGGCCUUGACAUUUUCAAUAGUAUCAGAAGCUUCAACUUCAAGAGUUAUCGUUUUUCCAGUAAGGGUUUUUACAAAUAUUUGCAUUCCUCCUCUCAGACGAAGUACAAGAUGAAGAGUCGAUUCUUUUUGAAUAUUAUAAUCGGACAGCGUGCGUCCGUCUUCAA